ACUCAAAAAAUACCUUCUGAAUAGACAAGCAUCAAAGUGCAAGGCAGGAGUGAAGUUGGAAUGGAAGAGCAAGGAAAUCUAGGAAAAGAGCUUCAAAAUCCUUUUAUAUGUAUCCAUCUAAUCCUUGAGGUGGGUAUGAGCCUCUUUUGGCGGUCGGCAAGGAUGGGAAAGAUGACAUGAUUUCACGACUCAUAAAGAAAGUGAUGGAGCUGUAGCUUGAAUUCUUUUACUUCAAAUCCACAAUGCCAUGCCUUGCUCCAGUGAAGGACGGACUGCUGUUCUGUCUCCUAAAACCCACACAGCUCGCCUGGAGCUUCAAAUGUGAGAACACAUUCCAGCUGCAGGAUCAGAGGACUUUUCCUACAGCCCAUAAGUGCCUGCAGCUCUAUCGGAUUUGCAAAUCUACAAAAGAGAGCACAUCCUAUUGUUCCCGGUUUUGAGUUUUUUUAAUAGUAUGUCUUGUAAAAUGCUGGUUGCUGGUGGACAGGGGUGUUUUACAGAUAGGUGUGACUCAGGAGGGGAAAUGGGUGGGCAGAGACAGCCACAAGGAAUUCCACACAUGAAGGAAAUGCUCCCACUUGUGUUUUCUAUUUGUGUUUUAAAUUUGGGGAGCGACUCACAGGCACUCAGCAAAAGUAACUAAUUAUAUUAACCUUAUCAGUAGUGAGGUUUCCUGGUCUCUCAUCAGACACUCAGCUCACUGGCUGGUAUUUAAUUGGGAGCCUGGUGGCCAGUGAAAACAGUGUGGGAUGAGUCACACUUUAACAAGUUUUUAUAGUACAGCAACCUUGCUGUAUAAUAGCCAGACAUUAUUAAAAUUCAGAUAUGGUA
Homo sapiens (human) is the source of this 831-nucleotide long non-coding RNA. RefSeq lists it as uncharacterized. NCBI's taxonomy places the organism in Eukaryota, Metazoa, Chordata, Mammalia, Primates, Hominidae. The record is from RefSeq and is a predicted model, not a curated record. The transcript has 3 exons.